This 454-nucleotide ribosomal RNA is filed under the name uncultured Prevotella sp. Its description in RNAcentral is "partial 16S ribosomal RNA". It matches the Rfam family "Bacterial small subunit ribosomal RNA", at positions 341 to 792 of the family's 1533-position model. Lineage: Bacteria; Pseudomonadati; Bacteroidota; Bacteroidia; Bacteroidales; Prevotellaceae. The record is from RNAcentral.
ACGGGAGGCAGCAGUGAGGAAUAUUGGUCAAUGGUCGGAAGACUGAACCAGCCAUGCCGCGUGCAGGAAUAAGGCCCUAUGGGUCGUAAACUGCUUUUGUGGUGGAGCAAUAAGGCGUACGUGUACGUCGAUGAGAGUACAUCACGAAUAAGCAUCGGCUAACUCCGUGCCAGCAGCCGCGGUAAUACGGAGGAUCCGAGCGUUAUCCGGAUUUAUUGGGUUUAAAGGGAGCGUAGGCGGAAGGUCAAGUCAGCUGUGAAAUGUAGUCGCUCAACGUCUGCACUGCAGUUGAAACUGGCCUCCUUGAGUGCGUAAGAGGCGGGCGGAAUUCGUCGUGUAGCGGUGAAAUGCUUAGAUAUGACGAAGAACUCCGAUUGCGAAGGCAGCUCGCUGGGCCGCAACUGACGCUGAAGCUCGAAGGUGCGGGUAUCAAACAGGAUUAGAUACCCUGGUA